ACAGUCCUAGUUGUGAUGUUAUUAGGGUUACAUUGCUGCUAGAGGACACUAGGACUAGGAUAGUAUGUGUUUCAUUAAACCUUACAAGUAUGUUUGAUUCCACGUUUAUUGGUUUCACAGGCCUGUUCUUAUUGUUUUCAUAUGUAUGAUGUGAUUCUAAAUGUGUAAUUUGUGUUUGCUUAAUUUCUCCUUGUUUAUUUUUUUCCCCACAUUCAUAUGAAAAAUUGAUAUGAUGGAUCUCAUAAGUCUGGCAUCUUUGCAUGCAGGUGAAUGGCGGUGGCGUGGAUGUUGGGUGGGCACUCAGACGGAAUAUGUUACCGUACUCACACAAUAGGCUCAAGAGGGUCCUUAUUUCAGGAGCCACUGUAUGGGAGGGGCUAAUGGAGCUGGCAUACUACAUUCUUCGGAGUGCCAAUAGACUCGAAAGUAUGGUCUUAGAUCCAAAGAUAAGGAUUGGGGGUCCUCAGCUGGAUGGUUGGAUGAUUGAUAUUGGUAGGGAGACGAUCAAAAAUAUUUUUGAGGGAGAGGAGUUUCAGAGCAUUAUUACUAUUCUGUAAGAAUGGUAAGAUAGGCCACAGGAUUUUGGUGGUCACACCAAGUGGCCAUGUUUGAUUAUGCCAUAGGUUUGACCAGUAUGGUCAUAAAUGUUUGUUGUUUUCAUUUCCGACCUCAGGAAAUGUAAAUUAAUACUCCCUCCAUCCAUUUUUCAUUCGCGUAUACUUCUCGGCAGUGACCAAAUUAAGUUUGAAAAAAAAACCGUUUCAUUUUUGCUGUUGCAUGUGACGUGGCCCACGCCUGCAUGCAUGCGAAUAAAAGAUAGGACACAUGAAGUUUAGUUAGUAAGGGUAAGAAUACCAAAAUACUUUUGAGCAUUCUUCUGUCAUUAAUGUAACUGAAAUAAAAGAGGGACUGUCAGUGGAAUUAAUAUGAUUUAAUCUGGGUGUUUUGUUUAUGUGAACUAAUUUUAGUUUCUUCAUUUUAUUUUAUUUUAGUUCUUAAAAUGAGAAAUACAUAAAAACAGAGUUUUAGUUUUGGUAUCUGCCAAUUUAGAAACUAUGAUGGAACAAAAUGGAGGACUAAAACUUAGUCUCUAGAAACUAAACAUCCCUUAGGGCUGAUUUGGUGACCAGGGAUCACGGAGGGAUUAGAGGGGAUUGAGGGGGAAAUUAGUUUAUUUUUCCCUCAAUCCCCUCCGAUCCCCCCGUGAUCCCCUUAUCACCAAAUUAACCCUUAAGGGCUGAUUUGGUGCUAAGGGAUCCUAAGGGGAUCCAUGAGGGAGGAAUCCCCUUGUUAUUCAAAAUUGAAUUGUAAGGGGAUUUCUCCCCCAUGGAUCCCCUUGGAAUCCCUUACCACCAAAUUAGCCCUAAGGGGUGUUUAAAUGCACUAGAGCUAAAACUUAGUCUCUAGAAACUAAACAUCUCUUAGGGCUUGUUCGUUUUGGUGAUAAUCCACAUGUAUUGGGUGGGAUUGAGUCGGUUUAAAUCCAUAACAAGUCAAAAUACAUCUCAAUCCCACCCAAUACACUCAAAUACACAUGUAAUAUCAAUAACCGAACAAGCCCUUAAGGAGAGAGACAUGUCCUAAACGUAUCCUCUUGGAUGGUCGCGUCCAUAUCCUCGAGCAGUGCGGUCUUGCUCAAGCAGCUUUUUGUAACGAUUAAAUACAUAUAGGACAUGCAUACGUCAGCAAGUGACUUAGUGUCGUACCCGUGAAGCACGGACGACGCGACGCUCUCCAAACCGGUAACGAUUAUGCGUGGACGAUCAGUCUGCAUAGAUUGGAAUUUGGAAAUUUUGGUCUGCUUCAUUUUUUCUCUCGCUCAUUUUUGGCCCAACGGCCCAGCCCAUUGAGUAAAGCAACUGGUGCCCUAUAUAUACGCAAAAAGACAUGACUGCCUCUGCACACCGCCACUCGCCCACACGCGAAGGCACCUAGCAGCCGCCACUCGCCGAACUGAGGAACACGCCUGGCGACGGGAUACAGCAGCAGCGCGCCCCUCUAUCCCCGACGCGACGGCGCCCUGCAGCUGCAGGCACGGCUCCACACCUCCACUCUUCUCCUCCGUCUCCGUUCAUCUCUGCUGAGUAGUUGUGGUUGUGGCGUGUGGAUUAAUCGCGAUUAAUCGAUCUGAUCGGCGCUCUGGCGAUCAGAAACGAUCGACCGAUUAGAAAACAUUGGUGCUCAGGCAUCUGCAUCGGUCAACACCCCCCCCCCCCCCCCCUCUUGUUCUGUUCCGGUACUGCCUUUCAGCCCUCGAGUCCUACUGUAGGUGUUGAAGUAGUAAUUUGUUUUGUGCGCGCAAGUUCGAUUUCAUGUCUGCAUGUCAAUAGCUUUCCAUUUUUUUGGUCAUCUAUUUAGUGCAGUUUUGAAGUACAUCAUUUUUUACCGAUUUUUCGUUACUCCAUCUGUGUGCCUGGGAAUUGCGGAUCCCCACCCACCCCACCACGUCUUCUGAAGGGAGUUCAAGAGGAACCCCUUGAAUUCUAUGGGGUUUGUCCGCUCUGAAAUUUCUUUUGCUAUUUGUUUCGAUUUUUUCCGAAGUAUCCAAACAAGACCUCACGAAUCUGCUUAUGUAUCAAUAAUGUGGGUAUAUCUAUUUGUUUGUUCUCAUAGUCUGGCAUAUGUAUUAUAGAUAAACCUGUUCCAAUGGGCAAACAAAAAGAGGGUGUGGACAAAAGAACUGCUAGGAAGAUGAUCCGAUCUACGGAAGGCUGUGCAAAGAGCAUUACUUUCGAGAGGAACAACAAAUCAGACGAUGUGCAGCUUCACGAUCUGCCGAAUGUAAGAGUAAUUCGAAAUAGUUCAAUGCUCCUUUUGCAGUAAGCAUAUAUGUGAAAUGGUUCAAAAGAGUUUGAUAGGACCAGGUAAUCAGUGGUUCAGUUUACUCGGCUGCUUACUCACGCUACUUACUACGUGCAGGACAUCCUAGGUAGCAUACUAUCACGGUUGACAUUCAGAGAAUCCUCACAGAUGGGCCUUGUUUCUCAUACCUGGCGGCGGCUGUGGAGAAGCUGUUGCCGGAAACUGGUCUUCACCAGUGCCACCAUGUUCCAACCCGGAAAUAGGAGCAUCAAACAUACAAGGACCAACUUUGCCAUGAGAGUCAACAGUUUCUUGCGUCAGCUACGCACUCAUCCUACUCUUAAUAAGUUUGUUAUUAAGUUCGGGCUGCGCAGGAAGCACACUCGCCAUGUCAACAGAUGGAUUCGCUUCUGCUCCGUGUCGCGAGCAAGACACAUCACUAUUAAUUUCACUCCUGGAGUGAAAGAUUUUUUCAUGGGUCCAGCCAACAGCAAGUACAUCUUCCCCCUGAACGUUUUCAGUGGUCCAGAAGGCUCCUCUACACAUGUCAGAACUCUUCAUCUGGGCUAUGUCUGUCUGGACACAACCUCGUCUGAUUUCAUGAUCUUUGCAAAUCUUAAGAAGCUCACUCUGCACAAAAUUUCCUUUUUGGGAGACCUCCAGUGCCUGAUGCUGCCAGAAUGCAAUUCUCUUGAGUGUCUGAGCAUCAGCUUCUGUUCCUUGCCUGGUUUAAGCACAUGCCAACCGCUGCAACGUCUGCGAUGUGUUCGUUUGCACUACUGCUAUCUAAAAAAGAUUGAGCUGGAAGCUCCAAAUCUAACAUCGUUUGACUUGACCAACCAACCAAUUCCAUUUGUGCUUGGUGGAUCUCUGAAUGUAAUGGAAGCCAACAUUAAACUGUUAGCUAAGGACUCACCUUAUGGUGAUAAUCUGGACUACAUCUACACUGAGCUUCCUGCUGCGCUGUCUCAUGUGCAUAAACUCUCGAUAACCUCGGGUCUCUUCGUUUAUGAUCAGGUUUUGUCUGUUGCUGAAAGCACUUAAGUUCAUUCAACUAUUACUUACCUUUAUUUGCACCUGACAUGUUUGUUCUUCAUCUCAUACAUAUUUUGACUCUCAUGGUUAUAUUUCAGCUGCAAGGGUUUUCCAAAACCUCAGCCAGAUUCAUCAAUCUGAGGCAUCUGACCAUGUAUUUGCCUCUUUAUGGGGAACCUAAGUCAAUUAGUGGGAUUCUUCGCUUGGCCUACCUACUGGAAUUGGCCCCAGCUCUAGAAGAAUUGGAAUUGCAUGUGAGUGGCUUACUAACUCUAUAAUCUGUUAUAGAUUUUCUCAAGGUAUGCCUUAUCUGUAGAAGUUUUUGUAGAGCAAUUGCAGCACUAGUGUACCAGGCAUAUUGUUUAUCAUCUUUGCUAAUUUUGAAUUGUCUGAAUAUUUAUUAUCCCUCAUUAAUCCAAAACUCUACAGUUCAAAAUUGCAGUAACAUAAAAGUUGUUGAGUGUUGAUGUUGUAGUUAAAAAAGAUUUAAAAAGACAAAAAAGUAGCAAUGUUGCAAUCAAUUGAACAUUGAACACUAUUGUACUUCAUUACCAUACAAGCCGAGGUGCCCAUGCGUUGGUAGUUUGCUUCAAGGUCUCGAAUACAUGAUAGUUUAAAAUUGUAUUGCUGGAACUGGGUGAUGUUCCACAGCUUAGAAAGUGGUCUUAUAAGUAGGCCUGUGGGUACCGUGUACGAAUGUAAAGGAGCAAGUCGAAGUGGUUUCAGCCAAAACAAAUAGACUAACUAUGUACAUUUCAUCUUCUCCACUUCCUCACGCAGCCACAGCCAUUAAUUCCCUCACACUGUCAUGAGCUCACGGUCGCACGACUCCUUCCCCCACUUCCUCUAUGCCUCCCACAACGGUGACCCACUAGGCGAAACAACACUUCUACGCCUCCCUCGACGGACAACCCACCCGAGCCCACACAUCUCCUGCAACGCUGCUCCUCCAGCGACUCUGCUCCUCGCCUCCUCCCACAACGGCGAAGUGCAGUUCUCCUCCCGCGAAACGGCAAGGGUGGCGCUGCUCCUCGCCGCCUCCAUGACGGCGCUCCUCCCGCGACCGGCUGCUUUGGCCACCCAACCAACAUUGUGCAUGCCAAGAAAACAAUGCUGUGGUUGAUGUCAUAAUAAACACAUAUUGGUUUGAGCUCUCACAUAAAACAAUUUUCGUAACAUUCACUAGUGAUGGACAGAGAAUAGACAAAAAAAACACAAGGAACAACAGCCAAUGAUGUAUAUGCCUGUGGCAUUGGGCUGGCUGGUUAAGCAUAUGGCCAACAGUCAUUUGUUGUCAUGUGGCCAAAUGUGAAUAGGUGAGGGUAGUAAAAUGAACCUUUUCCCUUCAAAGAAAUCAAACUUUUAGCCUUUUAUUUUACCGUUCCCAUCGUCUUCUCCAGCCAUUCUACAAGCAGAAGCGCUCCUCUUCAGUUCUGCCUGCGCAGAUCUAUCUUGGUUGUGCCCUCUCUCUCCCCCCCCCCCCCCAUAGCCACAGUCCUCAUACUCCCCUGCUUUCUUCCCCCCUCUCUGGCUUCUUUUUAACGAGGUUGUUCCUGCAUUCCCGGAACGUUCUGGUUACUAUGUUUGGGACCAAACCAAACAUUUAGCUCAAUAUCGCCACACUUAGGCUUUAAACCCCAAAAGGGCAAGCUUGAUGUGGCGGUGAGAGCUGUCUCACUUGAGUCUCAUCAUGUUGGUGAGAGCCUCUGGCACUGGGUCUGCUCUCUUAGGCUUUAAACCCACCAUAUGUCUGAUAUAUUUCAUUGGUCUCAUUUGUGUUGUGUGAAUCAUUUUCACCAAAUGAUAACUUUACCAAGCAAGGUUUUCAAGUCGAUAAGUCGAGUCGACAAGGUACCGACUUGGUGACUAGACGAUAAGUCAGUUGACUAGUCGUCGACUUGCCAAUAUAGUGGAUGUUUUGCCUAUAUAAUUGCUUCAUAUAGACAAUAUAACAUUUAUAUAUGAAGAAAUAGGAUGUUUUACCUCAUUUGAAGCCUGAAAUUGAACGAAACUGAAAUAAACAGCAAGUCUUACCUCAUUUGAAUCCUCAAACUGAACCAAAUCAGACACAUAAGUGAUAAGUCAUAAACUCAUAAGUCAUAACAGCCAUAUAGUUCAAAUUGGAAAACAAAUAGCAAGAAAAUAUAGUUCAAACUAGAAAGGAAAAAAGUCAUAAACUCAAAAGAAAAUAUAGUCCAACCCCUGUGAGGCAGUAGUGUGGCAGUCCCACCUGUCAACAUAGCUGUGGUAGAACAUACCACCACCACUGUCGCUUUUUAAGUAGUGAAGAUUAUUUGGGUGAUACAAUACAGUUUUAUCCAUUUCUGAAGCCAAUUGGAUUUUUUUGUAUUGGCAUUGAUGAAAGUAUGUGAAAUGUAAACUGUAAGUAGUACUUUCAUACGGAUGUCAAAUAUAACAGUCCUAAUUGUGAUGUUAUUAGGGUUACAUUGCUAGAGGACACUAGGACUAGGAUAGUAUGUGUUUCAUUAAACCUUACAAGUAUGUUUGAUUCCACGUUUAUUGGUUUCACAGGCCUGUUCUUAUUGUUUUCAUAUGUAUGAUGUGAUUCUAAAUGUGUAAUUUGUGUUUGCUUAAUUUCUCCUUGUUUAUUUUUUUCCCCACAUUCAUAUGAAAAAUUGAUAUGAUGGAUCUCAUAAGUCUGGCAUCUUUGCAUGCA
This 6514-nucleotide long non-coding RNA is filed under the name Zea mays. RNAcentral describes it as "long non-coding RNA (ZMAY_LNC000659)". The record is from RNAcentral. Lineage: Eukaryota; Viridiplantae; Streptophyta; Magnoliopsida; Poales; Poaceae.